This 1217-nucleotide long non-coding RNA is filed under the name Homo sapiens (human). RNAcentral describes it as "novel transcript". Lineage: Eukaryota; Metazoa; Chordata; Mammalia; Primates; Hominidae. The record is from RNAcentral.
AGGUACUAGCGAUUCCACUGGGCGCUAUAGGCAGGGCGCACUCACCGAACUCCCCAAUCCCUUCCAGCCUCAGAGCCCGCCUGGCAGGACUACUGAGCAAGGCCUUGGAAAAUCGGAGCGAUUAGAGCGAAGUGCUUCGGUCAGGCAGUAUCUUUGAAAAUAAUUUGGCCAAUGAAAGCCCUGGCAUUGGAUGAAAGUGCUAGCUGCUGGGAAUGCUACCCCUCCUUUUGGUUCUCUUUCAAGUCCUUCAGGUUCAAACAAUACAGAAGUGUAUAAAGUAAGAAUUGAAAGUCUCUUCGCUGCUCUAAUCUCACUCCUCAGAGGUGAUCACUGGACCUGAGUGAGCAGAAGGCUUUUCAGAAUUACAGCCUGAACUAUUUCUUGAGCAAUUUGGGAACUCAUUUCUAAAGCAGUCCUCAGAUUCACACAACGUAGUUUGUGACGGAGUAUGCCCAGAGCAGUGUGGAAGAUGAUCAAAGUAUGACAUUUCUUCUACCCCAGAGGCUGGCAUUUCUGCAGGCACAAAUGAGCUUGGUUUUCAAGCACUGCUCUUUGAACACAAGGAAUUCCUUUAAUGAUCACGCCGGACUAUAUAGACUUUGGAAUCAGACUCUUUGAAUUCCAGCUCUGCCAUUUACCAACUUUGACACUUUGGACAACGUCUCAUUCUGUCACCCAGGCUGGAGUGCAGUGGCACAAUUAUAGCUCACUGCAGCCUCAAACACCUGGGCUCAAGCAAUCCUUCCACCUCUGCCUCCUGAGUAAUUGGGACUACAGGCAUGUGCCACCACACCCAGCUAAUUUUUAAUUUUUAAUUUUUUUGUAGAGAUGGCGGUCUUGCUAUGUCACCCAGGCUGGUCUUGAACACCUGGCCUCAAGUGAUCCUCCGGCCUUGGUCUCUCAAAGCUCUGGGAUUACAGACAUGAGCCACUGCACCCGGCUCUAUCUCCCCUUCCUAUGUGUGUUAGCUCUAGAACAAGAGAAGCCUUGUUGAGAUUCCUGGCUGCCCACCCCCCAUCACCUCUCUGACUUUGGGCAAGUUGCCUGGCCUCUCUCAGCCUUUAUUUUCUUUUUGUGAAAUGGGGAUAAUAAUAGUACUUGCCUCAUAGGCAAAAUGUUGUGAGAACUAAACGAGAAAAUGCAUGUAAAGCACUUGGCACUUAGUUCUUUUUAUGAUUAUAAUGAUAAUCAGACACAAUAAAUUAUGUCUCACAUCA